CCCCCGCCCCCAUCAUUCACAAAAUGGCUGCAAGAAAAACCCAGAUGAAAAUAAUCCCAGAGCCCUCAUCACUCGAGGUUGUGGUGCCACGGACACCUUGUUCCAACCUCGUGUUCUUUAUUGGUUUAUUACUGAGAUCUUCUGUUUAAAACGGUUGUAAGCACACAAUUACAUUUUUCUUGGCUUUUUUUUUUUUAUUUUUAAAAAUGAUUUUCGGUGAAAUCAACAACAACAAAAAAUAAAAUAAAAACACUGUGGAGUUUUAACUGUAGUUGCUAGCUAGUUCUUUUCGUCUCUGUCCCAUGCUUUUCUCCAUCCCGAUUUAUCAACACAAGUAAUUACACAGCACCAAAUAGCUGUGUAUGUCCGAUGUCAUUUGCGCUUCGGUUGAUUGGUCACAUGUAGAAGGAUCAGAUGGUUGCUAUGGAAGACGGUUGAAACAGAAGAACACAGCAUCAUCACGUUGUCAUGGGGACAAAAACACACCGAUGGGAAAACAGACAGCACUUGGGGGGAGGACAAGAGUGUUUUCUCGAUUCAAGGGGAGUCGUCGUCGUCAUCAUCAUCAUCAUCAACCGAUUUAAGACUUCAUAUUUGUCCUGGCUUUCGUCUUGCUUUGUGACAUCACUGUGUUCACAGGGAGUAAAAAAGGAACGAGAGUUUCCACUCAAGUAAAGAAAAGGAUGUGUUUUUGGUGUAGGUUUAGGAGACUACUUUAAUUCUCUAGUCUGUUUCCUUUCGUUGGAAGGUGUGUGGACACUGGCUGACUGCCAACCAGGGUGAAAAAGUACAAUUUUUUUUUUUUUUUUUUUUUUACAGGUAAUUUGACACUUAUUUCAGAAUUGGUGGUCUAAUGAACUGUUAAAGAAGGACUUUUUGUUACUUUGCUCUGCUGCGGAAGAUGAAAGAAUCCGAAACGAAAGUUUUGACUGAAAGAAAAGAGGCGAGUGGAUGUUUUUUUUGUUUUGUUUAUACUUUCAGUAAAAAAAAAAUAAAAAAAAUGUAAUUAAAGGAAUUGAUUUGCAGAGAGGAAAAGCUUACUUUUCACCUGUCCUCCUCGUCGUCUCAACCUGUCGAUGGUCCAUGGAAUGCAUUUGUUGACAUCUAAUGGAAUUUAGAAGGUUCUUUUUGUUCCAAACCUUGUUUUUUUAGAGUUCUGAGAAUAGCCUGGGAUAUUUUCUGCCCCCCCUCCCAUCCCCCCUCCCCAAAAUGCGGACAAACUGUUGAUAUUAAUAACCAUUCACAUUGCUUUUGGUGUAUUGUUGUUAUUAUUAUUAUUAUUAUUAUUUGCUUUACAUAUGUUUAGGUAUGCAAGUGUGUGUGUAAUGUGACAAAUGUUUUCCAUGUAGUUGGCAUGUAUUUUUGAAACGGAGCAUUUUAUUUACCGAGAGGUGGGAAAUGUUUCAUUAUGAAGAAUGAUUGAAUGGUGCAGCAGCAAACAGGGUUUGAGCUCAGUUGUAAAUUAGUUCCUUCCUUCAAGUAGCAAGUAAAGUUUAAAAAAAUAAAAUAAAAUAAAAAAAUAAUCUCUUUUUUAUAUAAUUAUCUGUAACAAAAAUGUUUUUACAUGUUUGUCAUCUUGGUUGCUUUAUGUCUUGAUAUAUAUAUAUAAAAAAAAACUGAAAAUGUCUUGUCUCCCUGCUCAGUAAUGUCUUGUCACCAACGGAGUAAAAAGUACCCAAUUGUCAUACUUGAGUAAAAAGUAAGGAUACCUUAAUAGAAAAUGACUCGAGUGAAAGUUACCCAAUAAAAUAC
Molecule: long non-coding RNA, 1752 nt
Organism: Oncorhynchus tshawytscha (Chinook salmon)
Lineage: Eukaryota; Metazoa; Chordata; Actinopteri; Salmoniformes; Salmonidae
Source: Ensembl